RNAcentral lists this ribosomal RNA (486 nucleotides) under Triticum aestivum (bread wheat). Its description in RNAcentral is "partial small subunit ribosomal RNA". Lineage: Eukaryota; Viridiplantae; Streptophyta; Magnoliopsida; Poales; Poaceae. The record is from RNAcentral.
AUGCAUGCGCACGAAUCGUCUGGUUCACCUGAGCUUGGACGCGAAGGAGGAGAGGGCGGCGUCUCCACGGCCGCCGCCGCUGGCCGCCGACCGGAAGGCGGAGCGGCCGGAGCCGAACUCGUCGGAGCUGAUCACCGACGAAGACUUGGUCGACUUGGACCUGGACCUCGACCGCACCUGACGGGCACGGGCGCCGAAGAUGUCGUCGAAGAAGCCCUCCUCGGUGGGCACGGCCGCCGACGCCGGCCUGCCACGGCCGUCUCGGCGGCACAAGGCGUCGGCGCCACCGCCGUAGGAGUAGUACGGGUACUGGCCGGCCGUCGCGGCGUGGUAGUCAGCGGCACCGGCGUCGCUGCAGAAGCUGCUAAGGAGCACGGUGCGCGGCGGGCCGCCGAACACGUCCCGGAAGUCGUCGGGGGCGAGGCUCUUUUGGCCGACCGACGAGCGCUGCCGCGGCAGCACCGCGCCCAUCGUGCACCUCCAUGA